RNAcentral lists this non-coding RNA (107 nucleotides) under Virgibacillus sp. RNAcentral's name for it is "TPP sequence". It matches the Rfam family "TPP riboswitch aptamer (THI element)". Rfam says of the family: Vitamin B(1) in its active form thiamin pyrophosphate (TPP) is an essential coenzyme that is synthesised by coupling of pyrimidine and thiazole moieties in bacteria. The previously detected thiamin-regulatory element, thi box was extended, resulting in a new, highly conserved RNA secondary structure, the THI element, which is widely distributed in eubacteria and also occurs in some archaea. Lineage: Bacteria; Bacillati; Bacillota; Bacilli; Caryophanales; Bacillaceae. The record is from RNAcentral. RNAcentral also lists the same sequence under 1 other name.
ACCUUUCACUAGGGGAGCUGUGAAAUCGGCUGAGAAGAACUGUUUCGUUCUGACCCUUUGAACCCGAACUAGAUAAUACUAGCGUGGGGAAGUGUGGUCGAAGCUUG